RNAcentral lists this ribosomal RNA (137 nucleotides) under uncultured bacterium. Its description in RNAcentral is "partial 16S rRNA". It matches the Rfam family "Bacterial small subunit ribosomal RNA", at positions 355 to 507 of the family's 1533-position model. The record is from RNAcentral.
UGGGGAAUUUUCCGCAAUGGGCGCAAGCCUGACGGAGCAACGCCGCGUGAGGGAUGAAGGCCUNUGGGCUGUAAACCUCUUUUAUCAAGGAAGAAGAUCUGACGGUACUUGAUGAAUAAGCCACGGCUAAUUCCGUG